UUACUGAUUUAUGGUUCUUGAUUAGUGAUAUUGCUGUUUUGUUCUUAGGGAGUUAUAACAUAUGAUGGAAAAUCAAGGCACCUGAGUAGCAGAACUUCUAGACAAGUUACUCAAGUCCCCAGCUGAGAACAGACCAUGUUUGGCUAAAGAGGAUGGUGAGCCAUGCAGGAGAGAAUGAGGACCAGCUCUGGCAUAUGCAUGGCUUGGUCUAUAUUGUGUAGUUCCUGGCAUGUAAACUACCUCUACUGACUUAGAUAAUAUUGGAGACUUGCUGGGAAGAUGGAGAGGUGAAGUAGCAAGACAGGAACUAAGAGCUUCUAGAUUUCAAGGUGUGACCUCUAUGCAGCAUGUCAUGCUGUCUGCUACCUAGAUCUAUGGAGUAGGUAUUUAAUAAAUGUUUAUCAAAUUAAAUUUCUCUUGGUAUA
This 425-nucleotide long non-coding RNA is filed under the name Monodelphis domestica (gray short-tailed opossum). RNAcentral describes it as "lncRNA (ENSMODG00000043643.1)". Lineage: Eukaryota; Metazoa; Chordata; Mammalia; Didelphimorphia; Didelphidae. The record is from RNAcentral.